Molecule: transfer RNA, 69 nt
Filed under: Leguminivora glycinivorella
Lineage: Eukaryota; Metazoa; Arthropoda; Insecta; Lepidoptera; Tortricidae
Description: tRNA-Phe
Rfam family: tRNA
About the family: Transfer RNA (tRNA) molecules are approximately 80 nucleotides in length. Their secondary structure includes four short double-helical elements and three loops (D, anti-codon, and T loops).
Source: RNAcentral
GUCUUGGUGGCUCAGUUGGCAGAGCGCUGGCAAAUCCAGAGGCCGUGAGUUCAAGUCUCACCCAAGGCA